UACAGAGGCCUCGAGCGUUAGGCGGAAUCACUGGGCUUAAAGCGUGUGUAGGUGGAUGCCUAAGUACCUUGUGAAAUCCCACAGCUUAACUGUGGAAUUGCUUGGUAUACUGGGUGUCUUGAGCCACUCAGGGGCUACCGGAACAAGCGGUGGAGCGGUGAAAUGCGUAGAUAUCGCUUGGAACGCCAAAGGUGAAAACAGGCUGCUGGGGUUGUGCCGACGCUGAGACACGAAAGCCAGGGGAGCAAACGGG
This 253-nucleotide ribosomal RNA is filed under the name uncultured prokaryote. RNAcentral describes it as "partial 16S ribosomal RNA". It matches the Rfam family "Bacterial small subunit ribosomal RNA", at positions 524 to 776 of the family's 1533-position model. The record is from RNAcentral.